This 70-nucleotide transfer RNA is filed under the name chicken gut metagenome. It matches the Rfam family "tRNA". From Rfam's summary of the family: Transfer RNA (tRNA) molecules are approximately 80 nucleotides in length. Their secondary structure includes four short double-helical elements and three loops (D, anti-codon, and T loops). The record is from RNAcentral.
GCUUGUAGCUCAGCAGGUUAGAGCGCACGCCUGAUAAGCGUGAGGUCGGAGGUUCAAGUCCUCCCAGGCC